This is a long non-coding RNA of Triticum dicoccoides, 1120 nucleotides long. RefSeq lists it as uncharacterized. Lineage: Eukaryota; Viridiplantae; Streptophyta; Magnoliopsida; Poales; Poaceae. The record is from RefSeq and is a predicted model, not a curated record. The transcript is spliced from 4 exons.
GGAAGCUGACAACGGGAGACGUCCGCCACCGAGCACUGCCACGCGUGUAGCUGCAGUGGGCAAGGGACGCCGCCCGCCGCUAGGACUCGUUGCGACAGGAGCUGCCGAUGAUAGACACGCCAUCCGCCGCCGAGCACCGCCGUGGGAGGAGCUACGGCGGGCUAGCUACGCCGUACGCUACCGGGAGGAGCUACAGCGACCUAGCGACGCCGACCGCACGGCUGGAGACCGGCCCAGGACCCGUGUGCUUGGUGGAGCCAUGGCGGGGGAACUUCACCGCCUACGUCGCCGUGGGUUCACCGGAGUAAAACGCCGGACUUGUUCAGGAGACGCUGCUGCGACGCCUCUCUGCCAUCACCUGUGCUGCCAUGUUCAUCGGGCGUCGUGUGCGGCCCACAACAUCGAGAACACACGAGUUUCGUCGGCCGAUUCAGACCCAACUCCGUCCAGCGCGACCCACUUCUUAUCUUGAGCCAGCGAUGGCUGUUCCAUUCCGUUUCCCGUUUAAUUCUGAGUACUGGAGCCUGAGGCGAACGCAACUAUGGCAAGGAAUGUGUUUUAUGCAAGCUAGAGAACAGCUGCGGGCAGGCUGGCAAUCCGGAGAUGCAUGCGAGCUCAGAGUAUGGCCAUGAAUGAUACUCUGCUGAUGAACACCAAUACCACUUGUACUAGUAGUAGAUAUCUGUUGCAGGGAACGGAGGACUGCAUUGUCGAUGGUAACCUGAAGUCCUGAACCGCCACACCGUGCACGACAUCUAUUUGCUGCCGCCCCCGUACCAAACCAGUCAAGCAUACACAAACGAUGAUGAUGACGACGACGACGCCAACGAUGAUGGUAUCAAGGACGACAAUGAUUUUGAUGGUCCACCAUGAGAGAAGCCUCACCAGGGGCAUUGUAGUCGUUGCUGAAGAAUCAUAUGCACUCAAAUACAAGGACUUAUGAUGGUGUUCCAUGACUAAAGAUUCUGAAAAAUACAUGUCUUUUCAAGUUGCUGUUUCAUUUCUGGUUAGAGAUGAACAAAUACAACGGUAGUCUACAGAGUGUUUUUAGUUCAUAAUUUCUUAAUGGUAUUGUGACUUUGGAACUGUAUGUGAGGAUCAUGUUCAGUAUAUAUGGUUU